This 230-nucleotide ribosomal RNA is filed under the name uncultured bacterium. RNAcentral describes it as "partial 16S ribosomal RNA". It matches the Rfam family "Bacterial small subunit ribosomal RNA", at positions 118 to 347 of the family's 1533-position model. The record is from RNAcentral.
UGGGCAACCUGCCCUCAGCUCUGGGAUAACUCCAAGAAAUUGGGGCUAAUACCGGAUAUGACCGCUGACCGCAUGGUCUGGUGGUGGAAAGAUUUGUCGGCUGGGGAUGGGCCCGCGGCCUAUCAGCUUGUUGGUGGGGUAGUGGCCUACCAAGGCGACGACGGGUAGCCGGCCUGAGAGGGUGACCGGCCACACUGGGACUGAGACACGGCCCAGACUCCGUACGGGAG